Molecule: ribosomal RNA, 29 nt
Filed under: Cynodonichthys magdalenae
Lineage: Eukaryota; Metazoa; Chordata; Actinopteri; Cyprinodontiformes; Rivulidae
Description: partial 16S ribosomal RNA
Source: RNAcentral
UGCUCAACAGCUAGCUUAAACAUCCAUAU